RNAcentral lists this ribosomal RNA (327 nucleotides) under Arxiozyma telluris. RNAcentral's name for it is "Kazachstania telluris ribosomal RNA". Lineage: Eukaryota; Fungi; Ascomycota; Saccharomycetes; Saccharomycetales; Saccharomycetaceae. The record is from RNAcentral.
GAGAAACAAAACUGUCUCGUGGAGGGUGCUGGGAAGAGCCAUGGGGGAGUGCGUAUACUGCGGGCUAACCAGCGCUUAGUUGCGCGGUGCCUGUGGGUGCUCUGCCGGGAGCCUUCUGCUAAGGUGCCCUGCAUGUAGAACACACACACAGUGGAGACACGUAUGCACGUUUUUCUGGGUGCACAUGGUGCUUUGGGCUGGCAACGGCCCAGAGUGCAGCACACAAAACACAAACAAAAAUGCAGUGUAGAAAAUAGUCAGCAAAAAACACGAGUUCUGGGGCAGUGCGCGAGUGCUGUGGCAGGACGAGUGAUGUACAAAUCUUCA